Molecule: non-coding RNA, 30 nt
Filed under: Rattus norvegicus (Norway rat)
Lineage: Eukaryota; Metazoa; Chordata; Mammalia; Rodentia; Muridae
Source: RNAcentral
UAGCCCCAUUGCUAUGUUGUAGGAGAUGGU